Long non-coding RNA from Phyllopteryx taeniolatus (common seadragon), 1895 nucleotides. RefSeq lists it as uncharacterized. The record is from RefSeq and is a predicted model, not a curated record. The transcript is spliced from 5 exons. Lineage: Eukaryota; Metazoa; Chordata; Actinopteri; Syngnathiformes; Syngnathidae.
CGAUUCACAAUCAUUUUGUAUUGUGCUGGGUGUAUUUAGGUGCUUCAAACGAGCAGUGUAUCGUCUUCAACCGACGACCCCUCCCCCUAGUCGUCCGUUAAAUCGAGGUUCUACUGGAGAUUAAAAAAAACCCAUUUUUGUCAUUAUUUCGUUUGUGUGAGCCAUUGCUCCAUCUACUGGAACUUCAAAGCAAUUGCAAGGUUUUUUUUCCCCAUGAGCGGUCAGGUGACCUCACCAGUAGCUAUAUUUAGUUUCGCUUAGCUUAGCUUAGCUUACAGAGCAGCUGAAGAGCGCAAACGAGGUGAGCAACAUUGCAAACAAUGACAUGUACGACCUCCGUGUAUUCAAAAUACUGCAGACUGAGGACAACUACAGCUUAACAAAAAGCACCACACACUGCUAUGCUAGGCUAACUACUAUGUAACAACAUACAAUAAAGCGCCACAUGCUGCUGCACUAAUCUACUACAUAUCAACAUCAGCAACACACACUCCGCUAUGCUAACUACUAGCUACCAAGGGAAAGUGCCACAUGCUGCUAUAAGCUAACUACUACAUCCGGCUGUUGCGCUGCUGUUUUGUGAGGUACAAGAUGGCCGAGGGCGUCGUGCUGUGACAUCACACGGCAGCCAUUUUAGCGAGCGGCUCGGUCAAUUCCCUGAAAACUUUGUGGGGAAACCAAAAUCCAGGACAACCGGGAGAAGCAGAGAAAGAGGCCGCGCAGCAGGUCGGGCGCAGUUUGGGAGGAGCGCCACACUGUCGCUCGCCUCAGAGACAAACCGAAGACACAAGAUGGACGGCUGGUUCUGCGCCUGGAGCACGAGGAGGUGGAAGAUGUGUGUACUUUCUAAUCUGUACGUUGACAAAAUAGGCGGCUUACGCUUUUAACCGCCACGACUGACGACACGACGUAAAUGGAAAGCGAAAGUCAAACGCAAAUGAGAGCUCGGGGAGGGGCAAAACAUAGAAAAGAUUCUCUGCAUGGGAGUCGUACCAACAUUACAGUCUGUCAGGCAGCCCUUUCCAAAAUGAGCAACAGAAGCAAAAGGAUGACAGUCCAGAAGGUUCUGGAAGGCAUCUUUGAUCAUGACCGUGAAAUAGAAAUGUGUCUGAAGAUGAAGGCUAUCUUGAGCUCAAUUCUGAUCCUAAUGAUUCUGAUUUUGAACCAGAUGAGGGAAGCGAUAUUCCUAUUCCUCCAAGCAAGACAAGAAAAUGGUGCAAUAUAGUGGUCUUCAUCCCCAAAUAUGUCAGUCAAUCUUCCAUGUUUGCCUUCGCAGACACCACAGCCCCAAAAAGGCACUGCACAAAACUGCUGAAAUCAGCAUAAGAGAGGACCAAAAACCAAGCAUGAUCCUGGAUUACAAUGCCACCAAAGGGGGGGGGGGGGUAGACAACUUGGACAAAGUAACACGGUCCGACAGCAGCAAGCGAAUGACUGCGCGCUGGCCACUGGUCAUCUUCCAUAACGUGAUCGACUGAGAUCUUUCCUGACUGGAAUGUGUCAAAGCUGUACAAGAGGCGCAUCUUUCUCCAUGAGCUGGGGAAGACACUUGUGACACCGCCCAGCCAACGGAGGCGGCACCUGCCAAGGACCUGCGGGAUCCGGGAGAGGACUGCACCUAGUACGCUAGAAGGUUGCUGCUGGGGGGGGGGGGGGGGAGGAAGAGGAAGAUGAAGAGGAAGAGGUGCCAUGUCUGCAGGCCAUCUGAUGAUGUCAAGACAAGCGUGACCUGUGCGGAAUGCGCAAAAUGAAUUUGCACAAAGCGCAGCGUGAUGACACGUCGCUCGUGCGCUGUGUAGAUGUUCGUCAACUUCCGGGACAACCCGUUGGCGCCGGAGAUGGCCACAACUGACGACGGCGACGACCGCGAGACGUUCGGACGAGAAUUCAUGCUG